RNAcentral lists this transfer RNA (73 nucleotides) under Marmota monax (woodchuck). RNAcentral's name for it is "tRNA-Gln". It matches the Rfam family "tRNA". Rfam says of the family: Transfer RNA (tRNA) molecules are approximately 80 nucleotides in length. Their secondary structure includes four short double-helical elements and three loops (D, anti-codon, and T loops). Lineage: Eukaryota; Metazoa; Chordata; Mammalia; Rodentia; Sciuridae. The record is from RNAcentral.
UAGGACAUGGUGUAAAGGGUAGCACGAAGAAUUUUGAAUUCUUAGGAUUAGGUUCGAUCCCUAUAGUUCUAGA